AUCGCAUGAUAGAGCAGUCAAAACUACGGUGCCACAGGAUGAGCUCGCGUCUCAUUAGCUAGUUGGUGGGGUAAAGGCCUACCAAGGCGACGAUGAGUAGCCGACCUGAGAGGGUGAUCGGCCACACUGGAACUGAGACACGGUCCAGACUCCUACGGGAGGCAGCAGUGGGGAAUAUUGCGCAAUGGGGGAAACCCUGACGCAGCAACGCCGCGUGAGUGAUGAAGGCUUUCGAGUCGUAAAACUCUGUCUUUGGGGACGAAUAAUGACGGUACCCAAGGAGGAAGCCCCGGCUAACUACGUGCCAGCAGCCGCGGUAAUACGUAGGGGGCAAGCGUUGUCCGGAAUCACUGGGCGUAAAGGGCGCGUAGGCGGUUUGUUAAGUCAGGUGUGAAAGUUUUCAGCUUAACUGGAAAAGUGCACUUGAAACUAACUUACUUGAGUACUGGAGAGGUAAGCGGAAUUCCUAGUGUAGCGGUGAAAUGCGUAGAUAUUAGGAAGAACACCGGUGGCGAAGGCGGCUUACUGGACAGAGACUGACGCUGAGGCGCGAAAGCGUGGGGAGCGAACAGGAUUAGAUACCCUGGUAGUCCACGCCGUAAACGAUGAGUAUUAGGUGUUGCCGAGAGGCAGUGCCGCAG
This 641-nucleotide ribosomal RNA is filed under the name uncultured bacterium. Its description in RNAcentral is "bacterial SSU rRNA". It matches the Rfam family "Bacterial small subunit ribosomal RNA", at positions 185 to 851 of the family's 1533-position model. The record is from RNAcentral.